This 483-nucleotide ribosomal RNA is filed under the name uncultured bacterium. Its description in RNAcentral is "partial 16S ribosomal RNA". It matches the Rfam family "Bacterial small subunit ribosomal RNA", at positions 29 to 507 of the family's 1533-position model. The record is from RNAcentral.
UUGAACGCUGGCGGCAUGCUUUACACAUGCCAGUCGCACGGCAGCGCGGGCUUCGGCCUGGCGGCGAGUGGCGAACGGGUGAGUAAUACAUCGGAACGUGCCCAGUAGUGGGGGAUAGCUCGGCGAAAGCCGGAUUAAUACCGCAUACGACCUGAGGGUGAAAGCGGGGGAUCUUCGGACCUCGCGCUAUUGGAGCGGCCGAUGGCAGAUUAGCUAGUUGGUGGGGUAAAGGCCUACCAAGGCGACGAUCUGUAGCUGGUCUGAGAGGACGACCAGCCACACUGGGACUGAGACACGGCCCAGACUCCUACGGGAGGCAGCAGUGGGGAAUUUUGGACAAAGGGCGAAAGCCUGAUCCAGCAAUGCCGCGUGUGUGAUGAAGGCCUUCGGGUUGUAAAGCACUUUUGGCGGGAACGAAAAGGACUGUGCCAAUACCACGGUUCGAUGACGGUACCCGCAGAAUAAGCACCGGCUAACUACGUG